RNAcentral lists this ribosomal RNA (523 nucleotides) under uncultured bacterium. RNAcentral describes it as "bacterial SSU rRNA". It matches the Rfam family "Bacterial small subunit ribosomal RNA", at positions 777 to 1314 of the family's 1533-position model. The record is from RNAcentral.
AAUAGAUACCCUGGUAGUCCACGCCGUAAACGAUGGAUGCUAGCUGUUAGGAGUAUCGACCCUCCUAGUAGCGUAGCUAACGCGUUAAGCAUCCCGCCUGUGGAGUACGGUCGCAAGACUAAAACAUAAAGGAAUUGACGGGGACCCGCACAAGCGGUGGAGCGUGUUGUUUAAUUCGAUGGUAAGCGAAGAACCUUACCCAGGCUUGACAUCCUGUUAAUCACUCCGAAAGGAGAGAGUGCCUUCGGGCCGCAGUGACAGGUGAUGCAUGGCCGUCGUCAGCUCGUGUCGUGAGAUGUUUGGUUAAGUCCAUCAACGAGCGCAACCCUUAUAGUUAGUUGUAUUUCUCUAGCUAGACUGCCCUGGUAACAGGGAGGAAGGAGGGGAUGAUGUCAGGUCAGUAUCUCCCUUACGUCUGGGGCUACAAACACGCUACAAUGGCCGGUACAAAGGGCAGCCAACCCGCGAGGGGGAGCAAAUCCCAUCAAAGCCGGUCUCAGUUCGGAUUGCAGGCUGAAACUCG